Molecule: non-coding RNA, 196 nt
Organism: Oryza glaberrima (African rice)
Lineage: Eukaryota; Viridiplantae; Streptophyta; Magnoliopsida; Poales; Poaceae
Source: Rfam
AAAAAAACAAAUUCUUGGUUUCCGUGUUGACUGUCUGUUUUAUAUGAAAAUUUUUUAUAAUUCGUAUUUUCAUUGUUGUUAGAUGAUAAAACAUGAUUAAUAUUAUAUGCGUGACUUGUCUUUUUAAUUUUUCAUAAUUUUUUCAAAUAAGACAAACGGUGAAACGUUGGACACGGAAAUCAGGGUUUGUCUUUUU